AUUGCUAGUUACCAUCAUUGAGUUGGGACUCUAGCGAGACUGCCAGUGAUAAACUGGAGGAAGGUGGGGAUGACGUCAAAUCAUCAUGCCCCUUAUGACCUGGGCUACAAACGUGAUACAAUGGCUGAAACAGAGGGAGGCGAAGGGGUGACCUGGAGCGAAACCCAGAAAAACAGUCUCAGUUCGGAUUGAAGUCUGCAACUCGACUUCAUGAAGUCGGAAUCGCUAGUAAUCGCGGAUCAGAACGCCGCGGUGAAUACGUUCUCGGGUUU
Molecule: ribosomal RNA, 272 nt
Filed under: uncultured Acholeplasma sp.
Lineage: Bacteria; Bacillati; Mycoplasmatota; Mollicutes; Acholeplasmatales; Acholeplasmataceae
Description: partial 16S ribosomal RNA
Rfam family: Bacterial small subunit ribosomal RNA
Source: RNAcentral